UGAAAGAGAUUGAAGCACCACAGUGCCA
RNAcentral lists this non-coding RNA (28 nucleotides) under Mus musculus (house mouse). The record is from RNAcentral. Lineage: Eukaryota; Metazoa; Chordata; Mammalia; Rodentia; Muridae.